GCCUUCCGUCACUUCCCUAGAAACCCUGUCUCUGUCUUAUAUAUCAUUAAGGGCGUCCACUCUUUCAUGCCCAUUGAUUUCUGUGAAUUUGUCGACUUCUAGAAGCAUCACAACUAAAGCUUCACCUUGACUUUCAACUCUUUCAAGCGGAACCUCCAAGGCCUUGCGUGGUUUGUUGGGAGCAGUGAGCAGAGCCCGGCAUAUGGACCUGAGCUGCGGGUAACGUCUGCACUUGCCCUUCUACUACUGCUCUUGGUGAUGACGGCUGCCAGCCGUCCAGCGCCUUCUCUCAGCCUGUGUUCCACGUGACGUCCUCCGUGUCCUACCGUGCGCACGGAUGGCGUCUUUCUAGAGCAGUACUCGAAUAAUCUCAAACCGAUCUGGUUGAUUAUGAAACACCGGAUGUGUAGUGAAAAGAGCCUCUGCAUAUGAAAACAGUUGUGUUUCAGUGCGAAAAAGAGCAAAACAUAAAACUGCAACGUGAAAUAAACAGACUUAAGGAGCUACUUAGAAGAAACAGCAACACUUAAUGUGUACGGACCUAACAAGAGAGUGUCAAAGUUGUGAAACAAAACCGACUGAACUACAAGGAGGAGUAGAUGAAUCCAUUACUAUAGCUGAAGGCUUGAACAGGCAGAAAAUUGGCAAAGGACAACUGAAGUCAGCGCCGCCAUCAAUGAACUGGACAUAGUUGACGUAAAUAGAAAACUUCACCCAGAACAGAAUACACAUUCUUCUCAAAUUCACACGGGACAUUGAGAAGGAUGCUGGACAUUCUGAGGCAUAGAUACAUGCCAACACAUUUAAAA
Fukomys damarensis (Damara mole-rat) is the source of this 809-nucleotide long non-coding RNA. RefSeq lists it as uncharacterized. The transcript has 2 exons. The record is from RefSeq and is a predicted model, not a curated record. NCBI's taxonomy places the organism in Eukaryota, Metazoa, Chordata, Mammalia, Rodentia, Bathyergidae.